UACGGGGGGGGUAAGCGUUGUUCGGAAUUACUGGGCGUAAAGGGCUCGUAGGCGGCCAACUAAGUCAGACGUGAAAUCCCUCAGCUUAACUGGGGAACUGCGUCUGAUACUGGAUGGCUUGGAUCCGGAAGAGGGAUGCGGAAUUCCAGGUGUAGCGGUGAAAUGCGUCGAUAUCUGGAGGAACACCGGUGGCGAAGGCGGCAUCCUGGACCGAGAUUGACGCUGAGGCGCGAAAGCCAGGGGAGCAAACGGG
RNAcentral lists this ribosomal RNA (253 nucleotides) under uncultured bacterium. RNAcentral's name for it is "partial 16S ribosomal RNA". It matches the Rfam family "Bacterial small subunit ribosomal RNA", at positions 524 to 776 of the family's 1533-position model. The record is from RNAcentral.